CUGCCCAGUGACAUAAGUUAAACGGCCGCGGAACCCUAACCGUGCAAAGGUAGCAUAAUCACUUGCCUAUUAAUUGUAGGCUAGAAUGAACGGAUAAACGAAAUAUAAACUGUCUCAGUCAGACCACUAAAAAUUAACAUAUGCAUGAAGAGUUGCAUAUAUGGUCGAAGGACAAGAAGACCCUAUAGAGCUUUAUCUAAACUGUGGCAACGCUGCAUAAAGGAUUCGGUUGGGGCGACCGAGGACAUAUUAAAAAACACCCUUAAAAAAAAUGAUCCAUAAAUCUAAAAACUGACCCUAUAAAGAUCACAAAAAUAAGCUACCUUAGGGAUAACAGGCUAAUCCCAUUUUAGAGUCCAUAUCUACAAUGGGGGUUGGCACCUCGAUGUUGGCUUAGGGUAUCAGUAUAGCGCAAAAGUUAUAUAAAGAUGGUUUGUUCAACCAGUAACUCCCU
RNAcentral lists this ribosomal RNA (454 nucleotides) under Maoridrilus michaelseni. RNAcentral describes it as "partial 16S ribosomal RNA". It matches the Rfam family "Bacterial large subunit ribosomal RNA", at positions 1859 to 2597 of the family's 2925-position model. The record is from RNAcentral. Lineage: Eukaryota; Metazoa; Annelida; Clitellata; Crassiclitellata; Acanthodrilidae.